RNAcentral lists this ribosomal RNA (408 nucleotides) under uncultured bacterium. RNAcentral's name for it is "partial 16S ribosomal RNA". It matches the Rfam family "Bacterial small subunit ribosomal RNA", at positions 28 to 526 of the family's 1533-position model. The record is from RNAcentral.
GACGAACGCUGGCGGCGUGCCUAAUACAUGCAAGUCGACCUUAGUUGCGUACGGGUGAGUAACACGUGGGUAACCUGCCCAUCAGAAGGGGAUAACACUUGGAAACCGGUGCUAAUACCGCAUACUGAUGUAUGGACCCGCGGUUCGUUAGCUAGUUGGUGAGGUAACGGCGCACCAAGGCCACGAUGCAUAUCCGACCUGAGAGGGUGAUCGGCCACAAUGGGACUGAGACGCGGCCCAGACUCCUACGGGAGGCAGCGGUAGGGAAUCUGCGGCAAUGGACGAAAGGCUGACCGAGCAGCGCCGCGUGAGUGAAGAAGGUUUUGGGAUCGUAAGACUCUGUUGUUAGAGAAGCGGUAUCUAACCAGAAAGCCACGGCUAACUACGUGCCAGCAGCCGCGGUAAUUC